Molecule: unclassified non-coding RNA, 1390 nt
Filed under: Stegodyphus dumicola
Lineage: Eukaryota; Metazoa; Arthropoda; Arachnida; Araneae; Eresidae
Description: speckle targeted PIP5K1A-regulated poly(A) polymerase-like, transcript variant X1
Source: RNAcentral
UUAGUUUUCAAAGACAAAGUGCAUCUGAAAUACAUUCUAGUUGCCUGAAAUGCUGUCUAAAGUUUGGAAACAACAUUUUGCGUGACUGCAACUACAAAUUUGACUACAACUUUGGUGGUUGUGAGGCCUUUGAACUUUUCUAUGGGUAUCUGUAAAGAUGAAAAAAUUAUGUGAAUUCUUGUGCCUUUCUGCAGAAGAUUUAAAAAUUAGGUUUGCUAUUCGUGAAGACGUGCUAAAAAUCCUAUCACAUUUCUAUCCCAAAUGUGUUCUCCUAAUUUAUGGAUCAACAAUAAAUGGAUAUGGAUUUAAAGAAAGUGACUUAGAUCUUUUAUUUUUGCCACAUCCUGAAUAUUGUAACACUGAUUCUGAAAUUGUAAAAUUGCCUUCUCCUCCAACAACUGCGGCUUUAAGACGAGGUUUUCCCUAUGAAACAUUUCUAAAGAUGGAUGAAACUUGUCAGCUUAGAUUUGUAACAAAGUUGUUGCGUAGCCAUCCACAACAGUUCACAAAUAUUUUUUUUAUUUCAGCGCGAUGUCCUGUUAUAAACAUUGUUCACAAAAAUUUUGGUUUGAAAUGUGAUGUGACAUGUACUAAUAGACUUGUCGUUUACAAUACAGAACUAUUAAGAUUAUAUGGAGAGAUGGAUGCUAGAGUAAAACCUUUAAUAAUGACUAUUCGCUGCUGGACAAAAUCUUUAGGUUUCAUUAAACAAGGAGGAUUUACAAGUUAUGCCAUAAAUCUUUUAAUCAUAUUUUUCCUGCAAAAUGUUCAGCCAGCUAUUUUACCAUCUGUUCAGUACUUAAUGAAAAUUGCAGAAUUUUCUCAUAAAAUUGGAGGAUGGGAAUGUGCAUUUACUACAAAUCUGGAAAAAAUACCCAAAUCUAGAAACAGAAUGGAACUAGGUCAACUGUUAUUUUCAUUUUUUGAAUUCUAUUGGAAGUUUGACUUUUUGAGGAAUAUUGUUAGUCCCCAUAUCGGUCAUAUUUUGCCUAUAAAAGAAGUUAAAGAAUCAACUGCUGAGAUGUUGAAGUCUUUUCCGAAGGUCAAUAAAAUAUGUCGAAAGGUAAACUUGCUCUUUUGUCUUCUUCAUGGUGGGUGGUUUGAAGAACAUCUCUUGACAUCUUUUGCGUUUCAUUGGCAGACAGUGGGAAGGUAGAAUGUUUUACCUUACUUUCAAAACCAAAAUCUUGCUUUGCCAGCGAUAUUCUCUCUUCACCCUCUACUUUGGAUUUUAGAAAGUUCAUUAAAGCAGUGACUGCUAUCUGUGUCCAAGAUCCUUUUAUUCUGUCAUUUAAUACAAGCCGAAAUGUCAGCUACAAUUUGCUGAUGUACUUCAAGAUCGCAUUAAACAAAGCAAGGAAUAUAUUCUACUGUAGUCGUCAGUUUGAAU